AUGGCCAUGGCUUUCGCCAGCAAAUCGGUGGCUGUGUCAGCCAUCUCCAUGAUUGUCCGCAAGUCUUUCGAUUACCUUGAGAAGUAUGCCAAGGCGGAGGGGAUGAAGUCGGUGCAGGAGCGGCUUGAGAGGACUCUCCCACAAGUCCAAGUUGUCUUUGAUGCAAUUGAUAUGGAGAGGAUAAGGGAUCAGAGCGAGGCGCUUGAUGCCUGGCUUUGGCAGCUCAGGGAUGCCAUCGAGGAGGCAGAGGAUGCGCUCGAUGAGGUGGAGUACUACAAGCUUGAGAAAAAGGUGAAAACUAGAGGUAACAAGGUGAGCAGCUCUCUGUACAAGUGCAAGAGGGUGGUUGUUCAGCAAUUCAAUAGUACUUUUAAGGCUGGGACUUUUAAGAGAUUGUUGGAUGCCAUCAGAAAACUUGAUGAAGUUGUUGUUGGUGUGGAGCGUUUUGUUCGACUCGUGGACCGGCUGGAUUCUUGUACUUCGAGGCACAUAUGCCAUCAGGAGGUUAGUAAUCCUCGUGAGACUAGCUCCUUCAGUGUUGAUGAAAUUGUAAUUGGCCGUGAUACUGAGAGGGAUCAGAUUGUUGAAUGGCUGGUUGAACAAGACAAUGUUCAGGACCAUGAUGUUUGCAGUGUAAAUGCUUUGUCUAUAGUUGGCAUAGGUGGCAUGGGCAAGACCACGCUAGCACAGGCAGUCUACAAUGAUCAAAGAGUGAAGCAGUGCUUUGAUCAGGCUAUGUGGAUUUGUGUGUCCAAUGACUUUGAUGUCCCUGCUCUGACGAAAAAGAUUAUACAAGAAAUCACUAGAGAAGGUACUAAUGUUACUAAUUUCAAUACACUUCAAGAAAUCGUCAGAGAGAAUCUGAAAUCCAAGAAAUUCCUUCUUGUAUUUGAUGAUGUAUGGAAUGAUGAGAGAAGGCCUGACUGGGAGAAAUUAGUAGCUCCUCUGAAAUUUGGUCAAAAGGGAAGCAAAAUCUUAUUGACAACCCGGAUGGAAUCGGUGGUAGAUAUUGUUGAAAGGGUACUAGGAGGAAGAACCAAGUCUCUACGAUUGGAGGGACUGCAUGAGAAAGAUCUUUUAGCCAUUUUUAACAGGCAUGCUUUUUUCGAAGUAAAUCCCAAUGGUUAUUUCAACCUACAGGAGAUAGGCAAGAAAAUUACUAGGAAAUUGAGUGGAUGCCCAUUAGCCGCAAAGAUCAUGGGUGGGCUGUUGAACAACUCUCUGGAUAGCAUAUACUGGAACAGAAUGCUUAGAGAAAAUAUCUCUAAUAUUGAGCAUAAUAGUGAAGGAAUUAUGAAAAUUUUAAGAUUAAGUUAUCAUCAUCUGGCCCCACAUCUACAGGCUUGCUUCAGAUAUUGUGGCAUGUUCCGAGAAGAUUGCUGGUUUCGAAAGGAUGAGCUGAUUAACUUUUGGAUGGGUUCAAGACUAAUUCAGCUAUCUGCAAAUGAAAACCAGAGGCCAGAGGAUAUAGGAGAGUUUUAUUUGGGUAUACUAACAAAGAAGUCUUUCUUUGAACUGCGGUUAAAAAAAUCCACUAAUCUGUAUGAAGGCUAUGCAAGCGAGCUCAUGGAUCUGAAAGAUCUCCGCUAUUUGUGUAUCCGUUGUCUUGAGAAUGUCAAUGCAGACGAAGCUACUUUGGCUAAGCUGGGUGAAAAGGAAAAUCUCAUUAUGUUGUCACUCACUUGGAAAAACAGCCAACAGGAAUCAGACACAGAGGAACGAGUACUGAAUAACCUUCAACCUCACAUGAACCUCACCAAGUUAAAGAUCAAAGGAUAUAACGGUUCCAGAUCUCCAUGUUGGUUGGGAAACACCACUAUCAUCAAUUUGACAUAUCUCUAUAUCUCUAAUUGCAGUUACUGGCAUCAUCUUCCACCUCUAGGCGAACUUCCUUCCCUGAAAUAUCUGUACUUAAUCUGCUUGAACUCAGUGAAAAGAAUAGAUAGUUCCUUCUACGGGUGUGAGCGACCUUUUGGCUUCCCAUCUCUUGAGUAUCUAUUUAUUGAACAUCUUCCAGCACUAGAAGAGUGGGUUGAAAUGGAAGGCGAGCAUCUGUUUCCCCGGCUUAAGGCACUAGUCGUCAGACACUGCAAAGAAUUGAGAAAUGUACCAGCACUACCAUCCACUGUUACUUAUCUUGAAAUGGAUAGUGUUGGUUUGACUACUCUUCAUGAACCCUAUGUGCCUAAUGAAACUGCAGAAACCCAAAAGCCAUCACUCUCUAGGCUGAAGAUCUGUCACUGCCCAUACCUGGAAACACUUGAGCAACUUAACCAGUUUCUUUCUCUGGAGGAACUACAUAUUGAACAUUGUGAAAAUCUGUUGCAAUUGCCGAUGGAUCACUUACAGAUGCUCCCGUUUCUAAAACACAUGACAGUGUUGGGAUGCCCAAAGUUAAUGGUCCCUCCGGCAACCAUCAGGUUGCCGUUGCCAAUGAAAAAACUUCAUGUUGGGUCAUGUGCAGCACUUCCACCUGUUGAAGUGUGCAAGAGUUUGAUAGCGCUAAGUUGUUUGGAAAUCGUAAGCUGCCACGAACUUGCGGAUUUAAAUGGCAUGGAAGAGCUAACAUCCCUCACAGAGUUGAAG
Molecule: long non-coding RNA, 2586 nt
Filed under: Oryza sativa Indica Group (long-grained rice)
Lineage: Eukaryota; Viridiplantae; Streptophyta; Magnoliopsida; Poales; Poaceae
Description: lncRNA OsLaMu_04g0010790
Source: RNAcentral